This 798-nucleotide ribosomal RNA is filed under the name Candidatus Saccharimonadota bacterium. RNAcentral describes it as "partial 23S ribosomal RNA". It matches the Rfam family "Bacterial large subunit ribosomal RNA", at positions 1 to 592 of the family's 2925-position model. Lineage: Bacteria; Candidatus Saccharimonadota. The record is from RNAcentral.
UAAAAAGUUACUCAAGCGCACACAAUGGAUGCCUUGACAUAAGAUACCGAUGAAGGACGUAGUAGACUGCGAUAAGCUUCGGGGAGCUGUCAAACAAGCUUUGAACCGAAGAUUUCCGAAUGGGGAAACCCUACUAGGGUCAUGCCUAGUAACUCUUAUCUGAACACAUAGGAUAAGAAGAGGGAACCGGGGGAACUGAAACAUCUUAGUACCUCGAGGAAGAGAAAAUAACCAAUGAUUCUGGGAGUAGUGGCGAGCGAAACUGGAAUAGCCCAAACCUUUAAUACUUCGGAUAUGGGAUUAAGCUUAUGGUCCUAUAAAAGAGAAAAAGACAAGCCCAAGCAAAAAUCGCAUUUUUUGCCUGGCGCGAUAAGAAAAAACCGUAGGUUUUGUCUUAUAUCCGAUAAGUUGGUAGACGAAUGUAUUACAGGGGUUGUGACAUAGUAAACAACUACUACGGAGAGCCUAAAUUAUUUAGGAAAUCCGUAGUGGAAGCAAGUGCUACCACGAACUUGCAUAAGGUCAGAAAUUGCGAAGCGAGCAGAAUAGUCUGGAAAGACUAGCCAAAGACGGUGAUAGCCCGGUAUGUUAAGUAUUCGCAACCUUAUAUUUAUUAUUGUCGAGUAGAACGGGACACGAGAAACCCUGUUUGAAUCUGGGACGACCACGUUCCAAGGCUAAAUAUAUCUUAUGAUCGAUAGUGAACAAGUACCGUGAGGGAAAGGCGAAAAGAACCCCGGGAGGGGAGUGAAAUAGAACCUGAAAUUAUGUGCGUACAAGGAGUCAGAGCCCUUCGGG